RNAcentral lists this small nucleolar RNA (157 nucleotides) under Neotoma lepida (desert woodrat). Lineage: Eukaryota; Metazoa; Chordata; Mammalia; Rodentia; Cricetidae. The record is from RNAcentral.
UGGGCACGCAACCUACCCUUGAGAGUAGUUUGUUAAGGUCACAAACUGGUCGAUGAACUCACAAGUGUAGGUAGUGUGCUAAACCAGCGGCAAGGUUUUCGCUAACACCCCACUCUGUUCCAGUGACUGGAGUUUGAUAGUAACCUUUGCUACAAGU